This 253-nucleotide ribosomal RNA is filed under the name uncultured bacterium. Its description in RNAcentral is "partial 16S ribosomal RNA". It matches the Rfam family "Bacterial small subunit ribosomal RNA", at positions 524 to 776 of the family's 1533-position model. The record is from RNAcentral.
AACGUAGGACGCAAGCGUUAUCCGGAGUUACUGGGCGUAAAGGGCGUGUAGGCGGCUUUUCAAGUUCGUCGUGAAAGACCCCGGCUAAACCGGGGGAGGUCGAGGGAGACUGAGAAGCUAGAGGGCGGUAGAGGGACAGGGAAUUCCGGGUGUAGUGGUGAAAUGCGUAGAGAUCCGGAGGAACACCAGUGGCGAAGGCGCUGUCCUGGGCCGCAACUGACGCUGAAACGCGAAAGCAUGGGGAGCGAACAGG